UGGUAAUUCUAUGGCUAAUACAUGCGCACUCGCCUCCUUCUCUGGAGGGGCUGUGUUUAUUAGAUACAAAACCAACCCACUUUGUGGAGUCCUGGUGAUUCAUAGUAACCGAACGGAUCGCAGUUGGCUUCGGCCCGCGAUGGAUCUUUCAAGUUUCUGACCUAUCAGCUUUCGACGGUAGGGUAUUGGCCUACCGUGGCAGUGACGGGUAACGGGGAAUUAGGGUUCGAUUCCGGAGAGGGAGCCUGAGAAACGGCUACCACAUCUAAGGAAGGCAGCAGGCGCGCAAAUUACCCAAUGAAAACAGUUUCGAGGUAGUGACGAGAAAUAACAAUACAGGGCAUUUUAUGCUCUGUAAUUGGAAUGAUGGGAAUGUAAAACCCUUCCAGAGUAACAAUUGGAGGGCAAGUCUGGUGCCAGCAGCCGCGGUAAUUCCAGCUCCAAUAGUGUAUAUUAGAGUUGUUGCAGUUAAAAAGCUCGUAGUUGGAUUUCUGUCGUGGUCAUCCGGCUCCGCCCGUAUGGGUGUGCGCCUGGUUUGCCCUCGGCUUUCUUCCGGUAGCCUUCCGCGCUUCACUGCGUGUGUUGGUGUUCCGGAACUUUUACUUUGAGAAAAAUAGAGUGUUUCAAGCAGGCUUGUCGCCCUGAAUACUUCAGCAUGGAAUAAUAAGAUAGGACCUUGGUUCUAUUUUGUUGGUUUCUAGGACCAAGGUAAUGGUUAAUAGGGACAGUUGGGGGCAUUCGUAUUUAACUGUCAGA
This 756-nucleotide ribosomal RNA is filed under the name Eimeria jerfinica. RNAcentral describes it as "SSU rRNA". It matches the Rfam family "Eukaryotic small subunit ribosomal RNA", at positions 150 to 909 of the family's 1831-position model. Lineage: Eukaryota; Apicomplexa; Conoidasida; Eucoccidiorida; Eimeriidae. The record is from RNAcentral.